RNAcentral lists this ribosomal RNA (406 nucleotides) under uncultured bacterium. RNAcentral's name for it is "partial 16S ribosomal RNA". It matches the Rfam family "Bacterial small subunit ribosomal RNA", at positions 30 to 526 of the family's 1533-position model. The record is from RNAcentral.
AUUGAACGCUGGCGGCAGGCUUAACACAUGCAAGUCGAACGAGUGGCGGACGGGUGAGUAAUGUCUGGGAAACUGCCCGAUGGAGGGGGAUAACUACUGGAAACGGUAGCUAAUACCGCAUACCAUCCGAUGGGCCUAGACGGGAUUAGCUAGUUGGUGGGGUAACGGCUCACCAAGGCAACGAUCCCUAGCUGGUUUGAGAGGAUGACCAGCCACACUGCGACGGAGACACGGCCCAGACUCCUACGGGAGGCAGCAGUGGGGAAGCUUCGACAAUGGGCGAAAGUCUGACCGAGCAACGCCGCGUGUAUGAUGAAGGUUUUCGGGUCGUAAAGCACUGUUGGUAGAGAAGCGGUAUCUGACCAGAAAGCCACGGCUAACUACGUGCCAGCAGCCGCGGUAAUUC